Molecule: small nuclear RNA, 158 nt
Organism: Eublepharis macularius
Lineage: Eukaryota; Metazoa; Chordata; Lepidosauria; Squamata; Eublepharidae
Product: U1 spliceosomal RNA
Exons: 1
Source: RefSeq, a predicted model, not a curated record
AAAAUAAAGUGGCAGGGGAGAUACCUUGAUCACAAAGAAGUUUUUCCUAUGAUGAGGCUUAUCCAUUGCACUGGUAGCAUGCUGCCCCUGUGACUUCCUCAAAUGUAGGAAACUCAGUUGCAUAAUUUGCGGUAGAGGGGGACUGCAUUUGUUCUGUA